UAGUUGGUGGGGUAAGAGCCCACCAAGGCGACGAUCAGUAGCGGGUCUGAGAGGAUGAUCCGCCACACUGGGACUGAGACACGGCCCAGACUCCUACGGGAGGCAGCAGUGGGGAAUUUUGGACAAUGGGCGCAAGCCUGAUCCAGCCAUGCCGCGUGUAUGAAGAAGGCCUUCGGGUUGUAAAGUACUUUUGUCAGGGAAGAAAAGCCUGGGGAUAACACCCUCAGGUCAUGACGGUACCUGAAGAAUAAGCACCGGCUAACUACGUGCCAGCAGCCGCGGUAAUACGUAGGGUGCGAGCGUUAAUCGGAAUUACUGGGCGUAAAGCGAGCGCAGACGGUUAUUUAAGCAAGAUGUGAAAGCCCCGGGCUCAACCUGGGAACUGCGUUUUGAACUGGGUAACUAGAGUGUGUCAGAGGGGGGUAGAAUUCCACGUGUAGCAGUGAAAUGCGUAGAGAUGUGGAGGAAUACCGAUGGCGAAGGCAGCCCCCUGGGAUAACACUGACGUUCAUGCUCGAAAGCGUGGGUAGCAAACAGGAUUAGAUACCCUGGUAGUCCACGCCCUAAACGAUGUCAAUUAGCUGUUGGGGUACAUGAUGCCUUAGUAGCGUAGCAUAACGCGGAA
RNAcentral lists this ribosomal RNA (625 nucleotides) under uncultured bacterium. RNAcentral describes it as "bacterial SSU rRNA". It matches the Rfam family "Bacterial small subunit ribosomal RNA", at positions 246 to 862 of the family's 1533-position model. The record is from RNAcentral.